This is a long non-coding RNA of Erinaceus europaeus (western European hedgehog), 507 nucleotides long. RefSeq lists it as uncharacterized. The record is from RefSeq and is a predicted model, not a curated record. The transcript is spliced from 4 exons. NCBI's taxonomy places the organism in Eukaryota, Metazoa, Chordata, Mammalia, Eulipotyphla, Erinaceidae.
CAAAGAUGCUGUGGGCAUGAAUAGCAACAGUAGAAGCAGGAGGAGCAGAAGCAGCCAGAUUCAGCCGUGGUAACUAGUAGGUCAAAUGAUUGUCCUGAUGGAAUUGGACCUCCCUUUUAUCCUCAUCCUCCUAUCACUUCUUCCCCACUGGAAGUUUGGAUCAAAAUUGUCUUUGGGGAGUAUAAGAUAGAGAUAGGCAGAAAUCAAGAGGGAAGAGGGUGAUAGAAAACAAGAAAGACCCCUGCAAACCAAAGCACUUCAUAUGCUUGAAUUCACUGCUCUGGGCAACUUUUUCAUUCAGAUAAAGACAGAGGGAGAAAGACACCACAAUACUGGAUGUGCAACUUGAACAUGUGUGCUUAUAGCAUAGCAAGUCACGCGGCAUGACACCUACUUGAAGAACUAUCAGUCGUUCAUCAUUUGUGUGUGUAUAUGUGGGGUUACACCUGUGUUUCUCCAUGACUUCAGUAUCCAUGUAGGAUUCAUAUUCAAAUAAAUAAUCAUCCA